UGGGGAAUCUUAGACAAUGGGGGAAACCCUGAUCUAGCCAUGCCGCGUGAGCGAUGAAGGCCUUAGGGUUGUAAAGCUCUUUCAGCUGGGAAGAUAAUGACGGUACCAGCAGAAGAAGCCCCGGCUAACUCCGUGCCAGCAGCCGCGGUAAUACGGAGGGGGCUAGCGUUGUUCGGAAUUACUGGGCGUAAAGCGCACGUAGGCGGAUUAGUCAGUCAGAGGUGAAAUCCCAGGGCUCAACCCUGGAACUGCCUUUGAUACUGCUAGUCUUGAGGUCGAGAGAGGUGAGUGGAAUUCCGAGUGUAGAGGUGAAAUUCGUAGAUAUUCGGAGGAACACCAGUGGCGAAGGCGGCUCACUGGCUCGAUACUGACGCUGAGGUGCGAAAGCGUGGGGAGCAAAACAGGAUUAGAUACCCUGGUAGUCCACGCCGUAAACGAUGAAUGCCAGUCGUCGGGUUGCAUGCAAUUCGGUGACACACCUAACGGAUUAAGCAUUCCGCCUGAGGAGUACGGUCGCAAGAUUAAAACUUAAAUGAAUUGACGGGGGUCAUAGCUGUUUCCUG
RNAcentral lists this ribosomal RNA (563 nucleotides) under uncultured bacterium. RNAcentral's name for it is "partial 16S ribosomal RNA". It matches the Rfam family "Bacterial small subunit ribosomal RNA", at positions 355 to 941 of the family's 1533-position model. The record is from RNAcentral.